GACUAAGCGCACAUGGUGGAUGCCUUGGCGGCAGAAGGCGAUGAAGGACGUGGUAGCCUGCGAUAAGCCUCGGGGAGCCGGCAAACUGGCUUUGAUCCGGGGAUUUCCGAAUGGGGAAACCCACCGCUUCGGCGGUAUCACGAGCUGAAUCCAUAGGCUCGUGAAGCAAACCCGGUGAAUUGAAACAUCUCAGUAACCGGAGGAACAGAAAUCAACCGAGAUUCCCCCAGUAGUGGCGAGCGAACGGGGAACAGCCCAGUCACGAUCAGUCGGUGGAACCUAGCAGAACGGGAUGGAAAGCCCGGCCAUAGACGGUGAUAGCCCGGUACGCGAAAGGGAAAGCCGAUGAGUGACGAAGAGUAGGGCGGGACACGUGCAAUCCUGUCUGAACAUGGGGGGACCAUCCUCCAAGGCUAAAUACUCUCUGCCGACCGAUAGUGAACCAGUACCGUGAGGGAAAGGCGAAAAGAACCCCGGAGAGGGGAGUGAAAUAGAACCUGAAACCGUGUGCGUACAAGCAGUCGGAGCCCCGCAAGGGGUGACGGCGUACCUUUUGUAUAAUGGGUCAGCGAGUUACUUUCAGUGGCAAGCCUAACCGUAUAGGGGAGGCGUAGGGAAACCGAGUCUUAGUCGGGCGCCAAGUCGCUGGGAGUAGACCCGAAGCCAGUCGAUCUAUCCAUGUCCAGGGUGAAGGCAGGGUAAUACCUGCUGGAGGCCCGAACGAACUGCUGUUGCAAAAGUAGUCGAUGAGGUGUGGAUCGGAGUGAAAGGCUAAUCAAGGCUGGCGAUAGCUGGUUCUCCCCGAAAGAUAUUUAGGUAUCGCCUCGAGUAUUACUCCCGGGGGUAGAGCUCUGUUCAGGCUAGGGGGACAUCCCGUCCUACCAAACCUGUGCAAACUGCGAAUACCGGGAAGUAGCAGCUCGGGAGGCACACGGCGGGUGCUAACGUCCGUCGUGAAGAGGGAAAUAACCCAGACCACCAGCUAAGGUCCCCAAGUUGCGGCUAAGUGGGAAAGGAUGUGGGAAGUCACAGACAGCCAGGAGGUUGGCUUAGAAGCAGCCAUCCUUUAAAGAAAGCGUAAUAGCUCACUGGUCUAGUCCGCCUGCGCCGAAGAUUUCGCGGGGCUCAAGCCGUGCACCGAAGCUGUGGAUCCGGCCGCAAGGCCGGGUGGUAGGGGAGCGUUCCGUACGCCUGUGAAGGUGUGUCGCGAGGCACGCUGGAGGUAUCGGAAGUGCGAAUGCUGACAUGAGUAACGUUAAAACGGGUGAAAAACCCGUUCGCCGAAAACCCAAGGUUUCCUGCUCAACGUUAAUCGGAGCAGGGUGAGUCGGCACCUAAGGCGAGGCCGAAAGGCGUAGUCGAUGGCAAGCAGGUCAACAUUCCUGCACCAGGUGCUGCUGCGAUGGGGUGACGGAGAAGGCUAGGCCGGCCGGGAUCGGAUUGCCCGGUUCAAGCGUGUAGGGAGGAUCUCCAGGAAAAUCCGGAGGUCCGCUAAUCCCGAGGCGUGAUGACGAGGUCCUUCGGGACUGAAGUGGUUGAUGCCCGGCUCCCGGGAAAAGCCUCUAAGCUUCAGGCAGCAACUGGCCGUACCGUAAACCGACACUGGUGGGUGAGGAGAAAAUCCUAAGGCGCUUGAGAGAACUCGGGUUAAGGAACUCUGCAAGUUGACACCGUAACUUCGGGAGAAGGUGUGCCUCUUUUGGUGAAGGGACUUGCUCCCCGAGCUGAGAGAGGUCGCAGGUAAUCGGGGGCUGCGACUGUUUACCAAAAACACAGGACUCUGCUAACACGCAAGUGGAUGUAUAGGGUCUGACGCCUGCCCGGUGCCGGAAGGUUAAGUGAUGAGGUCAGCGCAAGCGAAGCUUCUGAUCGAAGCCCCGGUAAACGGCGGCCGUAACUAUAACGGUCCUAAGGUUAGGAAACGCUAGCCUUAGUAAAAUCGAACCAAAUGCGGGAAACUCCUCUACAGCCGUGCGGUACUCGCGGGCACCCGGGCAACCGGAUGCCGGCAGUAAAAAUCCGCCGGACAUGGGGACAAUCCGCAGGGAAGGCCCGGUGUGAGCCGGGAACCCUCAGAGACUUUACGUUCGAGGACUCUUUAUGAAACUCGAUGCCCAGUGGGUAACCGGUUUUGUCGACGGAGAGGGCUGUUUUCACGUGGGUCUGAGCCGGCAUCGCGAGAUGCGGGCAGGGGUCCAGGUGCUGCCAGAAUUCACCGUUGUCCAACACCGGCGCGACAUUCAGGUGCUGCAUGCGCUCAAGGCGUACUUCGGUUGUGGAGUGGUUCGCGUGAAUCACGGCGACCGGAUGGCGUUUCGAGUGCGCAAGAUGGAGGAUCUGAAUCAGCGCAUCGUGCCCUUCUUUUCCGCGCAUCCGCUCAGGACGAGGAAGCACGUGGACUUCAUCAAGUUCCGUCGCGUGCUGAAUCUGAUGAGUAAGGGUGCUCACCUGGCGAGCGAAGGCGUGGAGCAGAUCCGCGUGAUCGCCUCCCAGAUGAACCGCGGAGCGAGGGAACACGACUGCCUGCCAACGGGCGAGAGUGGAGAGAGUUCAAGAUAAAGUCCGGCUUCGGCGGAAACGUCGAGGAUGAAUCCGAGCGAAAUUCCUUGUCGGGUAAGUAACAUUGCCCGGGGCGGUGGUGACACCGUCUCAUUCAACCGGCUCAAAUCGGUGAAGCCCUAAUGACGCUCAUGCAGGGGUGUCAAGGGUAAUACCGAGGGUAAGAACAUCGAAAUGGAUGUUCCCUGUAACGACUCAGGGCGUGAGAAUCCCUGGAUGUGCUUCUUGAAGUGCAUAACACGCCGGCCCUGAUCCUUGCUUGAUGAAUCCAUCGGGCAAGCGGAAAUAUUCCGGGAGCGAGAUUCUCGACUCGCUCCGGUCAGGUGAACGUAUAGUCUGUGCCACGGGAAACCGUGGAGAUCAUGAAGUUCCGACCUGCACGAAUGGCGUAACGAUAGCCCCACUGUCUCGACCCGAGACUCAGUGAAGUUGAAAUCGCUGUGAAGAUGCGGCGUUCCCGCGGCAAGACGGAAAGACCCCGUGAACCUUUACUGUAGCUUUACGCUGAACUUUGAACUUGCCUGUGUAGCAUAGCUGGGAGGCUUUGAAGCCAGGGCGCUAGCCUUGGUGGAGCCAACGUUGAAAUACCAGCCUGGCACGUUCGGAGUUCUAACCUGGGCCCGUAAUCCGGGCCGGGGACAGCGUAUGGUGGGCAGUUUGACUGGGGCGGUCUCCUCCCAAAGAGUAACGGAGGAGUGCAAAGGUACCCUCAGCGCGGUCGGUCAUCGCGCACAGAGUGCAAUGGCACAAGGGUGCUUGACUGCGAGACGGACAGGUCGAGCAGGUGCGAAAGCAGGUCAUAGUGAUCCGGUGGUUCUGUAUGGAAGGGCCAUCGCUUAACGGAUAAAAGGUACUCCGGGGAUAACAGGCUUAUUCCUCCCAAGAGUCCACAUCGACGGAGGAGUUUGGCACCUCGAUGUCGGCUCAUCACAUCCUGGGGCUGUAGCAGGUCCCAAGGGUUCGGCUGUUCGCCGAUUAAAGUGGUACGCGAGCUGGGUUCAGAACGUAGACAACACUGCGUUGCCAGGGAGUAAUCCCUGGAACAAUUUAACUGGCUCAUAUCGGUGGAGCCCUCCUGGAGUGGCGAACGACUCCAAAGGGUAAUACCGAGGGAAGGCGGGUAACGAUGGACGCUACGAUCCUUGCAUAUAUCGCAGGGUUCCUGGAUGGCGACGGCAGUAUUUUCUUUCAGCUGGUCAGGCGGAAGGAUUACUGCUUUGGAUUCCAGAUCAGAACGUCGCUGGCUUUCUACCAGAAGACCGAGAAUGAACGGAUUCUCCUCUGGCUGAAGCAGCAGUUCACAUCCGGAUACAUACGUCGUCGCAAGACCGGAAUCAGCGAUUACAUGAUCGUAGAGCCCGGGGAAGUCCGCAGGAUUCUUGAGCUCUUGCAGCCCUACGUGCGCUUGAAGAAGGAGCACGUCGGGUUGAGCCUCGAGAUCCUGAGGAAGCUUCCUCAGGCCGAUGAUGUGGCGGAACUUGUUUCGUUGUGUCAUCUGGUCGAUCGAUUUCGGGAAAUCAACUAUUCGAAGAAGCGGACCAUCACUUCGACGGUAGUUGUCGACUUCCUGAAAUCACAUGGUUAUCUUGCCCCUGUAGAGACUGAUCCAAUUCAGGAGAGAGUCGUCGGACAUCUGGCGGCUAACACGCCAGUCGCCUCUGCGGCAAGCAGAGGAUGAAGGUAUAGUCCAUGCCACCCGAAAUGGUGGAAUAGAUUCCGGAAACUUCCGGUAUCGACAUGCGUGAGACAGUUCGGUCCCUAUCUGCCGUGGGCGUUGGAGAUUUGAGGGUGAGCUGCUCCUAGUACGAGAGGACCGGAGUGGACGCGCCUCUGGUGUUCCGGUUGUCACGCCAGUGGCACUGCCGGGUAGCUAUGCGCGGACGGGAUAACCGCUGAAAGCAUCUAAGCGGGAAGCCCCCCCCAAGAUGAGAUCUCCCUGAGGACUUGAUCCUCCUGAAGGGCCGUCGAAGACUACGACGUUGAUAGGCUGGGUGUGUACACGCAGUAAUGCGUUCAGCUAACCAGUACUAAUUGCCCGUGAGGCUUGACCAUAUAACACCCAAGGAG
RNAcentral lists this ribosomal RNA (4626 nucleotides) under Gammaproteobacteria bacterium. Its description in RNAcentral is "partial 23S ribosomal RNA". It matches the Rfam family "Bacterial large subunit ribosomal RNA". The record is from RNAcentral. Lineage: Bacteria; Pseudomonadati; Pseudomonadota; Gammaproteobacteria.